AACCACAGCCAUAUCACCCUGUUGCCCAAGACCGGUUACUCACAGAAGCUAGGCAGGGCUGAGCCUAAUCAGUUCCUGUAUGGGAGACCACAUGGGAAAAACUAGGUUGCUGUUGGAA
This is a ribosomal RNA of Danio rerio (zebrafish), 118 nucleotides long. The record is from Ensembl. NCBI's taxonomy places the organism in Eukaryota, Metazoa, Chordata, Actinopteri, Cypriniformes, Danionidae.